GACGAACGCUGGCGGCGUGCUUAACACAUGCGAGUCGAACGGAAAGGACCUGCUUUUGUGGGGUGCUCGAGUGGCGCACGGGUGCGUAACACGUGAGUAACCUGCCCUUGACUUUGGGAUAACUUCAGGAAACUGGGGCUAAUACCGGAUCGGAGCUCCUGCUGCAUGGUGGGGGUUGGAAAGUUUCGGCGGUUGGGGAUGGACUCGCGGCUUAUCAGCUUGUUGGUGGGGUGGUGGCUUACCAAGGCUUUGACGGGUAGGGGGCCGGGGAGGAUGACCGGGCACAUGGGAGAUGAGCGAAGGGCCAAACUCCUACGGGAGGCAGGAGUGAGGAAUAUGGGUCACUGGGAGGGAGCCUGAACCAGCCAAGUAGCGUGCAGGAUGCCGGCCCUAUGGGUUGUAAACUGCUGUUAGGAGGGGAUAAAGUGAGGGACGUGGCCGUCAUUGAAGGUACCGAAUGAAUAAGGACCGGCUAAUUCCGUG
RNAcentral lists this ribosomal RNA (483 nucleotides) under uncultured bacterium. Its description in RNAcentral is "partial 16S ribosomal RNA". It matches the Rfam family "Bacterial small subunit ribosomal RNA", at positions 28 to 507 of the family's 1533-position model. The record is from RNAcentral.